CCUUGCGGCGCAGCCAACGCAGCCCGUCUUCCUCUCCUGGACGGAUCCGACCAGGCGUC
This 59-nucleotide non-coding RNA is filed under the name Tetraselmis striata. Lineage: Eukaryota; Viridiplantae; Chlorophyta; Chlorodendrophyceae; Chlorodendrales; Chlorodendraceae. The record is from RNAcentral.